UUGGUAUUUGUUUGACAGCAUCAAGCAAAGGUAUAUUGAUCUCCACUUUGCGAAAGGUUGCAAGUAUUUCUUUCUCUUCUUUUUCUUUUUGUGAUCUUGCAAACCUUUUUGGAAAGGGAGGUGGUACCUUGAAUUUUUCUUCUGGUUGUUGUUCUGUCUUGUUCUGCUUUGGUCUGGAUUCUGCCUGGAUCGUCGAUUUGGACAAAUCAAAUUAUGCCCUCUCUGGAGGUUCGGGCAAAUUGUCUAUGCUGGGAAAUUCUGUUUGUUUGUUGAUUUGGCCAGUGAUUUGGGCAAAUCGACUUCUUGGAUCACUUACCGGCAGCUUCUCUUCAACAGCCUGUUUGUGCAUUUGGGCAUUCCUAUACUCAGUUCUAUCAUUUUGAAGCUCUCUCCCACUUCACAAUGUGAUGGCACUAACAUUUUGCUUGGAUUAAU
This 435-nucleotide long non-coding RNA is filed under the name Manihot esculenta (cassava). RNAcentral describes it as "long non-coding RNA (MESC_LNC007816)". The record is from RNAcentral. Lineage: Eukaryota; Viridiplantae; Streptophyta; Magnoliopsida; Malpighiales; Euphorbiaceae.